Small nucleolar RNA from Equus asinus (donkey), 250 nucleotides. Ensembl annotates it as small nucleolar RNA, H/ACA box 53. Its record names the gene SNORA53. NCBI's taxonomy places the organism in Eukaryota, Metazoa, Chordata, Mammalia, Perissodactyla, Equidae. The record is from Ensembl.
AACAUGCUUCCUUAGAUCCACCUUUGUGGGUGUUAGUCUUGAACUGUGUUCUACUUGUAAACUUCUUGUUUCUUGUAGUUCCGGUCAGAGAAACAUCCAGCAACUUUUUUGGUUGUAUAGUCAAAGGUGCUUGAGUCAUUGGCAUGUGAGAUAAAUAUACCUGCAUGUUAGUCUUAUGUUCUGAUAGAAAUGACAUGCAGUUGUGCUGUCAUUUUUUUUACUAUCAGGACUCGACUGGUGUGCGGACACU